RNAcentral lists this ribosomal RNA (253 nucleotides) under uncultured bacterium. RNAcentral describes it as "partial 16S ribosomal RNA". It matches the Rfam family "Bacterial small subunit ribosomal RNA", at positions 524 to 776 of the family's 1533-position model. The record is from RNAcentral.
UACGGAGGGUGCGAGCGUUGUCCGGAGUCACUGGGCGUAAAGGGCGCGUAGGCGGCCUGAUAAGUAGGGGGUGAAAUCCUGCGGCUUAACCGCAGGGCUGCCUUCUAAACUGUCAGGCUUGAGCACAGUAGAGGCAGGUGGAAUUCCCGGUGUAGCGGUGGAAUGCGUAGAGAUCGGGAAGAACAUCAGUGGCGAAGGCGGCCUGCUGGGCUGUUGCUGACGCUGAGGUGCGAAAGCUAGGGUAGCAAACAGG